AGCAGCCGCGGUAAUUCCAGCUCCAAUAGCGUAUAUUAAAGUUGUUGCAGUUAAAAAGCUCGUAGUUGAAUUUCGGGGUUAGUAGGUUGGUCAUGCCUCUGGUAUGUACUGGUCUCACUGAUUCCUCCUUCCUGAUGAGCCGUAAUGCCAUUAAUUUGGUGUUGCGGGGAAUUUGGACUGUUACUUUGAAAAAAUUUAGAGUGUUUAAAGCAAGCUAACGCUUGAAUACAUUAGCAUGGAAUAAUGAAAUAGGACGUUCGAUCCUAUUUUGUUGGUUUCUAGGAUUGACGUAAUGAUUAAUAGGGAUAGUUGGGGGCAUUAGUAUUCAAUUGUCAGAGGUGAAAUUCUUGGACUUAUUGAAGACUAACUACUGCGAAAGCAUUUGCCAAGGAUGUUUUCAUUAAUCAAGAACGAAAGUUAGGGGAUCGAAGACGAUCAGAUACCGUCGUAGUCUUAACCAUAAACUAUGCCGACUAGGGAUCGGAUGAUGUUAAUUUUUUAAUGACUCAUUCGGCGCCUU
This 520-nucleotide ribosomal RNA is filed under the name uncultured Glomus. RNAcentral describes it as "SSU rRNA". It matches the Rfam family "Eukaryotic small subunit ribosomal RNA", at positions 569 to 1089 of the family's 1831-position model. Lineage: Eukaryota; Fungi; Glomeromycota; Glomeromycetes; Glomerales; Glomeraceae. The record is from RNAcentral.